AACGAACGCUGGCGGCAGGCCUAACACAUGCAAGUCGAGCGCACCGUACGGGGAGAGUCAGACGGGUGAGUAUAGCGCGGGGAAACACCCUUUUCUUCGGGGUAGCACCGGGGGACUGGAAUUCUAACAGCAAGUGCCCUCUGGGGGAAAGAUUUAUCGGUUAAGUAUCGGCCCGCGCUGGAUUAGCUCGUGGGUGGGGUAAAGGCCUACCAAGGCGACGAUCCGUAGCUGGUCUGAGAGGAUGAUCAGCCACAUUGGGACUGAGACACGGCCCAAACUCCUACGGGAGGCAGCAGUGGGGAAUAUUGCGCAAUGGGCGAAAGCCUGAUGCAGCCAUGCCGCGUGAAUGAUGAAGGUCUUAGGAUUGUAAAGUUCUUUCACCGGAGAAGAUAAUGACGGUACCCGGAGAAGAAGCCCCGGCUAACUUCGUG
This 431-nucleotide ribosomal RNA is filed under the name uncultured bacterium. Its description in RNAcentral is "partial 16S ribosomal RNA". It matches the Rfam family "Bacterial small subunit ribosomal RNA", at positions 29 to 507 of the family's 1533-position model. The record is from RNAcentral.